CUCGAGGCCAGAUCUAGAGUUUGAUCCUGGCUGAGAUUGAACGCUGGCGGCAUGCCUUACACAUGCAAGUCGAACGGCAGCAUGGGAGCUUGCUCCUGAUGGCGAGUGGCGAACGGGUGAGUAAUAUAUCGGAACGUGCCCUAGAGUGGGGGAUAACUAGUCGAAAGACUAGCUAAUACCGCAUACGAUCUACGGAUGAAAGUGGGGGAUCGCAAGACCUCAUGCUCCUGGAGCGGCCGAUAUCUGAUUAGCUAGUUGGUGGGGUAAAAGCCUACCAAGGCGACGAUCAGUAGCUGGUCUGAGAGGACGACCAGCCACACUGGGACUGAGACACGGCCCAGACUCCUACGGGAGGCAGCAGUGGGGAAUUUUGGACAAUGGGGGCAACCCUGAUCCAGCAAUGCCGCGUGAGUGAAGAAGGCCUUCGGGUUGUAAAGCUCUUUUGUCAGGGAAGAAACGGUAGUAGCUAAUAUCUAUUACUAAUGACGGUACCUGAAGAAUAAGCACCGGCUAACUACGUGCCAGCAGCCGCGGUAAUACGUAGGGUGCAAGCGUUAAUCGGAAUUACUGGGCGUAAA
Molecule: ribosomal RNA, 578 nt
Filed under: uncultured bacterium
Lineage: Bacteria
Description: bacterial SSU rRNA
Rfam family: Bacterial small subunit ribosomal RNA
Source: RNAcentral